Molecule: non-coding RNA, 77 nt
Organism: Podarcis lilfordi (Lilford's wall lizard)
Lineage: Eukaryota; Metazoa; Chordata; Lepidosauria; Squamata; Lacertidae
Source: the annotation of a GenBank genome assembly
GGUCAGAGAGAUAGCUCAGACAGUAGAGUAUGAGACUCCUAAUCUCAGGAUCGUGGGUUUGAGCCCCAUGUUGGCUG